RNAcentral lists this ribosomal RNA (277 nucleotides) under uncultured prokaryote. RNAcentral's name for it is "partial 16S ribosomal RNA". It matches the Rfam family "Bacterial small subunit ribosomal RNA", at positions 524 to 800 of the family's 1533-position model. The record is from RNAcentral.
CACGGGGGUUGCGAGCGUUGUCCGGAAUUACUAGGCGUAAAGGGCAGGCAGGCGGAUCCAUAAGUUUAUCGUUUAAGGCGUCGGCUUAACCGGCGUAGGGCGGUAGAUACUGUGGAUCUGGAAUGCGGUUGGGGAAGACAGAAUUCCUGGUGUAGCGGUGGAAUGCGCAGAGAUCAGGAGGAAUACCGAAGGCGAAGGCAGUCUUCCAAGCCGUUAUUGACGCUCAACUGCGAAGGUGUGGGUAUCAAACAGGAUUAGAUACCAGGGUAGUCCCUGA